RNAcentral lists this ribosomal RNA (500 nucleotides) under uncultured Myrionecta. Its description in RNAcentral is "bacterial SSU rRNA". It matches the Rfam family "Eukaryotic small subunit ribosomal RNA", at positions 1210 to 1797 of the family's 1831-position model. The record is from RNAcentral. Lineage: Eukaryota; Ciliophora; Litostomatea; Cyclotrichida; Mesodiniidae.
AAAACUUACCAGGUCAAGACAUGGGCGUGAUUGACAGGCUAAUGACUUUUCUCGAUUCCAUGGAUGGUGGUGCAUGGUCGCACUUAGUUGGUGCAGUGAUUUGUCAGGUUUAUUCCGGUAACGAACGAGACCUCGGCCUUGUAAAUAGCUAUGCUGCUUACAGGGACAUUGGCGGCUACGCCAAGGAAGCUCGAGGCAAUUGCAGAUCUGGAAUGCCCUUAGAUGUCCUGGGUCGCACGCGUGCUACAAUGACGCCACGAACGAGCUUGCGUGAUGAAAGUUACGCAUAAUCAGCAGUCGGCGUCUUAAGGGAUAGUCUCUUGUAACUGUGGGACUCCAACUAGGAAUGUCUCGUAAGCACAAGUCAACAUCUUGUGUUGAUUACGUCCCUGCUCUUUGUACACACCGCCCGUCGCUCCUACCGAUCGAGUGUUUAGGUGAAUUUGAUGGACGUAAGGAAGUCAAAUAAACCUGAGCACUAGAGAAGAGAAGUCGAGCAG